UCCAGCAGCCGCGGUAAUACGUAGGUGGCAAGCGUUGUCCGGAUUUAUUGGGCGUAAAGCGAGCGCAGGCGGUUUUUUAAGUCUGAUGUGAAAGCCUUCGGCUCAACCGAAGAAGUGCAUCGGAAACUGGGAAACUUGAGUGCAGAAGAGGACAGUGGAACUCCAUGUGUAGCGGUGAAAUGCGUAGAUAUAUGGAAGAACACCAGUGGCGAAGGCGGCUGUCUGGUCUGUAACUGACGCUGAGGCUCGAAAGUAUGGGUAGCAAACAGGAUUAGAUACCCUGGUAGUCCAUACCGUAAACGAUGAAUGCUAAGUGUUGGAGGGUUUCCGCCCUUCAGUGCUGCAGCUAACGCAUUAAGCAUUCCGCCUGGGGAGUACGGCCGCAAGGCUGAAACUCAAAGGAAUUGACGGGGGCCCGCACAAGCGGUGGAGCAUGUGGUUUAAUUCGAAGCUACGCGAAGAACCUUACCAGGUCUUGACAUACUAUGCAAAUCUAAGAGAUUAGACGUUCCCUUCGGGGACAUGGAUACAGGUGGUGCAUGGUUGUCGUCAGCUCGUGUCGUGAGAUGUUGGGUUAAGUCCCGCAACGAGCGGCACCCUUAUUAUCAGUUGCCAGCAUUAAGUUGGGCACUCUGGUGAGACUGCCGGUGACAAACCGGAGGAAGGUGGGGAUGACGUCAAAUCAUCAUGCCCCUUAUGACCUGGGCUACACACGUGCUACAAUGGAUGGUACAACGAGUUGCGAACUCGCGAGAGUAAGCUAAUCUCUUAAAGCCAUUCUCAGUUCGGAUUGUAGGCUGCAACUCGCCUACAUGAAGUCGGAAUCGCUAGUAAUCGCGGAUCAGCAUAGCCGCGGUGAAUACGUUCCCGGGCCUUGUACACACCGCCCGUCACACCAUGAGAGUUUGUAACACCCAAAGUCGGUGGGGUAACCUUUUAGGAACCAGCCGCCUAAGGUGGGACAGAUGAUUAGGGUGAAGUCGUA
Molecule: ribosomal RNA, 985 nt
Filed under: Lactiplantibacillus plantarum
Lineage: Bacteria; Bacillati; Bacillota; Bacilli; Lactobacillales; Lactobacillaceae
Description: bacterial SSU rRNA
Rfam family: Bacterial small subunit ribosomal RNA
Source: RNAcentral